This 468-nucleotide ribosomal RNA is filed under the name uncultured bacterium. RNAcentral's name for it is "partial 16S ribosomal RNA". It matches the Rfam family "Bacterial small subunit ribosomal RNA", at positions 28 to 507 of the family's 1533-position model. The record is from RNAcentral.
GACGAACGCUGGCGGCGUGCUUAACACAUGCAAGUCGAGCGGAAAGGCCCUGCUUUUGUUGGGUGCUCGAGUGGCGAACGGGUGAGUAACACGUGAGUAACCUGCCCUUGACUUUGGGAUAACUUCAGGAAACUGGGGCUAAUACCGGAUAGGAGCUCCUGCUGCAUGGUGGGGGUUGGAAAGUUUCGGCGGUUGGGGAUGGACUCGCGGCUUAUCAGCUUGUUGGUGGGGUAGUGGCUUACCAAGGCUUUGACGGGUAGCCGGCCUGAGAGGGUGACCGGCCACAUUGGGACUGAGAUACGGCCCAGACUCCUACGGGAGGCAGCAGUGGGGAAUAUUGCACAAUGGGCGGAAGCCUGAUGCAGCAACGCCGCGUGCGGGAUGACGGCCUUCGGGUUGUAAACCGCUUUCGCCUGUGACGAAGCGUGAGUGACGGUAAUGGGUAAAGAAGCACCGGCUAACUACGUG